UAGAUACCAUACCACAAGCACCAGUUAUUGUAUCAGAAUUAUUUAAUGCAAGGCAAGCACCAACAGGAUUGUCUAUGCAGACUCGACCAAUGUCUGUUGCAGAUAAAGACAAUUUCCAGAAAGGUGGGGAAUUAUGCCAACUAACAACUUUAAUAUGUUUACACAUUGGUUUAUGAGGAGAGCAGAUAGAGCUAAAAAAGGAGGUCUUAACUUAGAGGAAUGGACAGAACUGUUAGAAUACGCUAUGGAUCCUUUUGCUAGUACACUAUUGGGAUUUAAUAACAGUGUGUCUGAUCAGGCAGGAAGAAUUGCUGCAACUAAUUUCUAUCUACUUAGCAUAGAGAAAGAAAUAGCGAAUAUUAUGAGGCCAACAGAUGUUCCUAGAGAGGUAGCCCAUCGGCUAUUGUUCUGGUCUACAUUGCGCCAACCUCAACAGCCCCUGGUGUUGAGCUCACCAGAACACAUUGCUAAAGUAAUGGAAGCCAUUCCCUGGGAGUGUCAAUAAUUUGUCAGGCUUUUUGAUCCAAC
Non-coding RNA from Pelobates cultripes (western spadefoot toad), 528 nucleotides. Lineage: Eukaryota; Metazoa; Chordata; Amphibia; Anura; Pelobatidae. The record is from the annotation of a GenBank genome assembly.